GACGAACGCUGGCGGCGUGCUUAACACAUGCAAGUCGAACGGAAAGACCCUGCUUUUGUGGGGUGUUCGAGUGGCGAACGGGUGAGUAACACGUGAGUAACCUGCCCUUGACUUUGGGAUAACUUCAGGAAACUGGGGCUAAUACCGGAUAGGAGCUCCUGCUGCAUGGUGGGGGUUGGAAAGUUUCGGCGGUUGGGGAUGGACUCGCGGCUUAUCAGCUUGUUGGUGGGGUAGUGGCUUACCAAGGCUUUGACGGGUAGCCGGCCUGAGAGGGUGACCGGCCAAAUUGGGAAUGAGAUACGGCCCAGACUCCUACGGGAGGCAGCAGUGGGGAAUAUUGCACAAUGGGCGGAAGCCUGAUGCAGCAACGCCGCGUGCGGGAUGACGGCCUUCGGGUUGUAAACCGCUUUCGCCUGUGACGAAGCGUGAGUGACGGUAAUGGGUAAAGAAGCACCGGCUAACUACGUG
Molecule: ribosomal RNA, 468 nt
Filed under: uncultured bacterium
Lineage: Bacteria
Description: partial 16S ribosomal RNA
Rfam family: Bacterial small subunit ribosomal RNA
Source: RNAcentral